UACGUAGGUGGCGAUCGUUGUCCGGAUUUACUGGGCGUAAAGGGAGCGUAGGCGGACUUUUAAGUGAGAUGUGAAAUACCCGGGCUCAACCUGGGUGCUGCAUUUCAAACUGGAAGUCUAGAGUGCAGGAGAGGAGAAUGGAAUUCCUAGUGUAGCGGUGAAAUGCGUAGAGAUUAGGAAGAACACCAGUGGCGAAGGCGAUUCUCUGGACUGUAACUGACGCUGAGGCUCGAAAGCGUGGGGAGCAAACAGGAUUAGAUACCCU
Molecule: ribosomal RNA, 265 nt
Filed under: uncultured prokaryote
Description: partial 16S ribosomal RNA
Rfam family: Bacterial small subunit ribosomal RNA
Source: RNAcentral